GGCACCUUCGGUGUCCGAGUUGUAAUCUCUAGAAAUGUUUUCCGCGUUGGACCGCACACAAGUCUGUUGGAAUACAGCGGCAUAGUGGUGAGACCCCCGUAUAUGGUGCGGACGCCCAGCGCUUUGUGAUACAUUUUCGAAGAGUCGAGUUGUUUGGGAAUGCAGCUCAAAUUGGGUGGUAAAUUCCAUCUAAAGCUAAAUAUUGGCGAGAGACCGAUAGCGAACAAGUACCGUGAGGGAAAGAUGAAAAGCACUUUGGAAAGAGAGUUAACAGUACGUGAAAUUGUUGGAAGGGAAACGCUUGAAGUCAGACUUGCUUGCCGAGCAAUCGGUUUGCAGGCCAGCAUCAGUUUUCCGGGAUGGAUAAUGGUAGAGAGAAGGUAGCAGUUUCGGCUGUGUUAUAGCUCUCUGCUGGAUACAUCUUGGGGGACUGAGGAACGCAGUGUGCCUUUGGCGGGGGUUUCGACCUCUUCACACUUAGGAUGCUGGUGGAAUGGCUUUAAACGAC
RNAcentral lists this ribosomal RNA (508 nucleotides) under Rhodotorula mucilaginosa. RNAcentral's name for it is "LSU rRNA". It matches the Rfam family "Eukaryotic large subunit ribosomal RNA", at positions 124 to 648 of the family's 3401-position model. The record is from RNAcentral. Lineage: Eukaryota; Fungi; Basidiomycota; Microbotryomycetes; Sporidiobolales; Sporidiobolaceae.